This 2023-nucleotide long non-coding RNA is filed under the name Capra hircus (goat). RNAcentral's name for it is "lncRNA (ENSCHIG00000004556.1)". Lineage: Eukaryota; Metazoa; Chordata; Mammalia; Artiodactyla; Bovidae. The record is from RNAcentral.
CACCCCUACCCCUCCCACCCCUCUGGGUUUUCGGGGAGCCCGGGUUGAGCACCCUUGCUAUACAGCAGCUUCCCACCAGCUAGCUAUUUCGCACGUGCCAGUUACGUUUCCAUGCUACUCUCUCAGUUCAUCCCACCCUCUCCUUCCCUGCUGUGUCCACAAGCCCAUACAAGUGCAGUUUUAUCUGGGGCAGAAGGAAGACUGAAUCAUGGAGACAGCGUUUCAGACAGCCCGAGAAGCUGCUCUGAGGAGGUAGGAUACAUAGAAGUCUUGCAACAAAGGACAGGUGGUUGGGAGCAUCACCAGACUGCUGAUAUUGAAUAGGCCAGAUAUCCCAAGUUAAGCAAUUUAGUGUUUUUCUCUGUACGGGAAGAUUCAAGAGUCUGGACUCACUGGAGUCAUUCCCUUGUUAUGCACCUCAGCUAACUCAGACAGGAUCCUGUAUUUCCACACCCUGGGUUUCCUCAGGGCGUGGCUGUAGUCUGACGGCUGCUGUGCUUAGUCACUCAGUCCUGUCAGGCACUUUGCAACCCUGUGGACUGGAGCCCCCCAUGCCCCUCUGUCCAUGGAAUUCUCUAGGCCAGGAUACUAGAGUGGGUGGCUGUUCCCUCCUCCAAAGGAUCUUCUCUACCCAGGGAUUGAACCCAGGGCUCCUGAAUUGCAGGCGGAUUCUUUACCCUCUGAGCCACCGGGGAGCCCCUGGCAGCUGCUGGAUUACAGUAGGACCACUGGCACAAAGGAAGAGAAACAAACACACAUUUCAUUUGCUUCAAGGAUCGAAAAUCGCUGGAGUUAGGGGAAAGCUCUGUGACACGUGUUUCGGACUCGUAUCAGUAAUUCAGACAGGAAUAAUGUACGAGAGGAGUGUGGGAGUAUAAACACUCCUUUGCCGUCUAGAAUAAAGCACUCUGUAAUAUUUCAUGAGAUACCAAGGUAACAAUUACAGCAAGUCCCCUACACAGGAACCUUCAAGUGGCGAACUUUCAAGGGUGUGAAUGUGCUUCCCCUCAGCAUCACGCAUGAGUGAUGUUGCAGCUCGCCCGCUUCUAUUCCUGAUGAGCUUCUCAUCUCCCACCCUCUCCCUCCUCCGGUCAGUGGCUCUUCUUGCCUGUUUGUUUGAUGCCAGCCCUGUGUGCCCGCAGCUGUCCUGCACUACAGUACUUUUCAAGGUACUGUACUGUAAUACUAAAAACACCUUAUUUUUUGUGUUUAUCAUAUAUUAUUUGUGAGAAAAGUGUUAUAAGCUUGUUGUAGUACAGUACUAUAUAGCUGACUGUGUUAGCUGUGUACCCAGGCUAACUUUGUUGGACUUAUGAACAAAUUGGACUUGUGGAUACACUCUUGGAACAGAAUUUGUUCAUAUGUAGGAGACGUACUGUUAUGUCUUUCCGAAGUUCUAGGAAUUGCCACACAGCUGCUAUUUUUUGUGUUUGUAAAUAUCAGUGUUUAACAUGCAUGUAUGUGUGCUAAGUGCCUUCAGUCAUGUCCGACACUUUGCGACCUUUUGGACUAUAUAGCCCACCAGGCUCCUCUGUCCGUGGACUUCUCCAUGCAGGAACACUGGAGUGGGUUGCCAUUUCCUCCUCCAGCGGAUCUUCCCCACCUAGGAACUGAGCCAGCGUCUCUUACAUCUCCUGCCUUGGCGUGUGGGUUCUUUACCACUAGCACCACUUGGGAAGUCCAGUGUUUAGCAGACUUUAAAUUUAUUUUGUUACGACAAAAAUUCAAGAGCAACAGUCAAGAAAGCAAAAUAAACAUUUAAAAAUAAAUGAAAUCACAAAGAAGCAAAAGUAAUGCAGGCUGUCAAUGCCCGAUCCGUUUAAGGGAAGAUAAGAUCCUUUCUGGGAAAUGGAGUUAGGACAAAAAGUUGAAGGAGAGCUAGGAUUCUGAUAAGCUUGGACAAGUGGCAGACAUUUCUGAUAGGAACAGAAGGAGAAGGAGAAAAGUUUCCAAAAAGAGAUCAGUGAUAAGGGACACUUUGCAAAAAGGUAAAAGCAUAGCUGUUUCACAAUUUUAAAAUGAA